CUGACCCUUCAUGACCCCAUUUGGAGUUUUCUUGGCAAAGAUACCAGAGCCAAUGGUUGGCCAUUUCCUCCUCCAGCUCAUUUUACGGAUGAGGAAACAGAGGCAAAGAAGGUAAGACUUGUUAGAAGUUGGAUUUGAACGUCAGGUCUUCCUGACUCUGGGCCUGGUACUCUGUUCAGUUGGCCACCUAGCUGCCUGUGAUGACGUGGCUAAUAAAAGUCAGAGGCAGGAAGAAAAUCCAGUUUUCCUUGACUUAAAAUCCAGCAAGCUAUUCAUUCUGUCACUGGAGAAACAGAUUCUCAGUUGCUUCCUAUAUCAAAGGUCAAACUCCCUUCUGGGUUGUCGUCAAUGUUGUGGUUUCUAGCCUGAAGGAUGCCUCGAGCUCCCAGUUUUUGGCAAAGCCAAGGCCUGGUUUUUAUAUUUGUGCCAAACUUCUUGAAGCUAGAAAUUGGACCUUGGCAGAGAAGCUGAAGCUGGAUGGCUACAUCAACACUGAUGUCAUCACUGCCCAGAGCUGAGACUUCCAUACAAGUACCCUGCCACCCAUACCCAGGAACUUCCGCCCAGUUUUGCAUUUCCCAGUGCCUGCUCCCAUGCUUUCUGAGUCUUUAGAGCUGGGUUUCUUAACCCUUUCUGUGUCAUGAAUCCCUUUUGAAGUUUGAUGAAGUUUUGUACCCCUUCUCUGAAUAAUGUUUUUGAAUGUAAAAUGUAAUAUAAAAUAAAACACACAGGAAUACAUACA
RNAcentral lists this long non-coding RNA (742 nucleotides) under Vombatus ursinus (common wombat). RNAcentral's name for it is "lncRNA (ENSVURG00010006563.1)". Lineage: Eukaryota; Metazoa; Chordata; Mammalia; Diprotodontia; Vombatidae. The record is from RNAcentral.